Molecule: long non-coding RNA, 463 nt
Organism: Mobula hypostoma (lesser devil ray)
Lineage: Eukaryota; Metazoa; Chordata; Chondrichthyes; Myliobatiformes; Myliobatidae
Exons: 3
Source: RefSeq, a predicted model, not a curated record
UGAAGACAUGGAACAUCAUAGAGGGAAGGAAAAGUGGGAAAAUAUUGAAUGAUGCCAAUACAUUCAGAAGAAAUGUGUCCAGAGAUGUCAGAACUGCUUCCUGCAGUCCCAGAGUCAACUCCUAUAACCACCAUGGAGGAGGCCCCAAAAGCUGAUAAUACUUCACAGCCACAAGUCUCACCUGCCCAGCAGAGGGACACCCCCGGUCUGGAAAGAUGUUAUCGCACAAGAGUCACGAACAUAUCAAUCAUCCCUGCUGUGGAACCACUUCUACAAAGAAGAGAUCUGUAUGCUCCACGACCACUGGACUCAGUGUGCACAUGUAGGAGGGGACUAUGUUGAAAAAUAAAUAUGCCAGGUUUUUUAAAAUUGACUCCUUCUACUUUAGGCCACAGACUUAUCGAUCACUCUGUGUGUGUGUGUGUGUGUUUGUGUGUGUGUGUGCAUGCAUGUGUGUGUGUGU